UACGGGGGGGGCAAGCGUUGUUCGGAAUUACUGGGCGUAAAGGGCGCGUAGGCGGUUUGCUAAGUUGGAUGUGAAAACUCUGGGCUUAACCCAGAGCCUGCAUCCAAAACUGGCUGACUUGAGUACUGGAGGGGAAAGCGGAAUUCCUGGUGUAGCGGUGAAAUGCGUAGAUAUCAGGAGGAACACCGGUGGCGAAGGCGGCUUUCUGGACAGUAACUGACGCUGAGGCGCGAAAGCUAGGGGAGCAAACAGG
This 253-nucleotide ribosomal RNA is filed under the name uncultured bacterium. RNAcentral describes it as "partial 16S ribosomal RNA". It matches the Rfam family "Bacterial small subunit ribosomal RNA", at positions 524 to 776 of the family's 1533-position model. The record is from RNAcentral.